This 349-nucleotide ribosomal RNA is filed under the name Cyclothone microdon (veiled anglemouth). RNAcentral's name for it is "partial 12S rRNA". It matches the Rfam family "Bacterial small subunit ribosomal RNA", at positions 870 to 1384 of the family's 1533-position model. Lineage: Eukaryota; Metazoa; Chordata; Actinopteri; Stomiiformes; Gonostomatidae. The record is from RNAcentral.
CGCCUAGGGACUACGAGCGCUAGCUUGAAACCUAAGGACUUGGCGGUGUCUCAAACCUCCUAGAGGAGCCUGUCCUAGCACCGAUAACCCCCGUUUAACCUCACCACUACUUGCCAGCCCCGCCUAUAUACCGCCGUCGACAGCUUUCCCCUCAGGGCCAAAUAGCAAGCAAAACAGACCCUAAACCUAACACGUCAGGUCGAGGUGUAGCGCACUGUAGUGGGAAGAGAUGGGCUACACUCCCUGUAUCAGGGACCACGAAGAGGGUCCUGAAAUUGGACCCCUGAAGGAGGAUUUAGCAGUAAAAAGGAAAUAGAGCGUCCUUUUGAAGGAAGGCCUUGAGAUGCGU